GGGUGAUGCUAUCCCACUGAGAAUGUGUGGCUCCCCUACCUGAGGUUUCCUGUGCAGGCAUCUUCACACUUUCCAGACCUAUCAAGGCAGACACCAGACUCCCAGGAGAGGGAAGAUGAUGUGUUUGGAAAGGAGCUGCUGCUACUGAGGGCUCCCAGAUAAAGUGGCCACCAAGCUCCGAGAAAGUGAAAUGGUGAGCCAUGCCACGCGUGUGCCUGUGUCUGCCGACCUGUUCUCGCCCCUGGGGUUGGCUGCCUUUCCUCCAGUGUGUUAUUGCCCUUCUCCUUGGCACUCACGGGGACUUGUGGGUAUCAUCAAACCUAUCAGUGGGUUCUCCAGGGGACCCAGGGAACCCAGACUGAGGACCAAAAGACCAAACAAAGAUGCAGAAAUAGCUUUUCCAUCAGUCCUGGGGAUCUUUGAUAAGAAGUAAAAGAAUAGAGCCUACCUUGAAGUCAUGUUUUGCCCAACAUUUUUGGCUCUGUCCUAAAUGUUUAUUUUCGGAAGGGGCUAGGGUUAGGAAAUACACAAGACAUGAAAAGAACUCUUCUGCUUAGUGUUUUCUCACUCUUUCUUUGAGUUAAAGAGUACAGAUAUGUCCAGCUGCUUGAGAAGGGGAGAAGAAAGAUAAAGAGGGGAGAAAGAAAUAUCAGAGAAAAAAAUUAGAUCCUAUUUUUAAAAUAAUAUCUAAAAUUUGUAUCCUUUAAAAUAAUGGAUGUAACAAUUUGAUUUUAUUAAAAAUAAUAAAAUUGCAUGAAACCUAUACUCUCUUACAUAGGCAAAUCUCUUACACAGGGCCAUUGUUUUUUAUCACACUCAUUAUUUCUAUAUUAUGGGAUAAUACUCUAUUAUUUGUGUGUUUUAUAUUUCCUGUAGGAAGGCGAUGGUCUAGAAUUCCAUAGACCAGCUGGGUAUAUGUCCAAGCAGGGAUAUGACAAGAGGAAAUCCAAGAAACAUUUAGAAGGGGAGGAAUUUGAAUGAAGUGGAAAACAGAGAGGAAAAGCUCAGGAGUAGUUAAGCCAGAGAACAAGAAGAAUGUUUAUUCUUUUGAUAAGCAGUGGGAGAGAACUGUGGCUUGGGAUGACAGGUGGAAGAUGAUGAAUUUGAAUUUGGAAAUACAGUAUAUACUUAUUCACAAGAGACAUUCAUGCUGAGAGAUUUUCUUUUUCUCUAAAACUAAAGCCAAGAUGGACCAACGCUUUUGUCGUGUUUCUGUGUAUUCUACAGAGACACUACGCUACGUGGUAUAUUUCUCUUACCUACUUCAAGUGGCAGCUACCCUCCUUCAGCCUUCAGCUUUCUGCUGGUACUGUGCUUUCCAUUCGCAUCUCAGGUCCUAAACAUCUGAUCUUAGCAUACGAAGAUGCGUGCACACACAUCCCCCG
RNAcentral lists this long non-coding RNA (1385 nucleotides) under Fukomys damarensis (Damara mole-rat). RNAcentral's name for it is "lncRNA (ENSFDAG00000024923.1)". Lineage: Eukaryota; Metazoa; Chordata; Mammalia; Rodentia; Bathyergidae. The record is from RNAcentral.